Poecilia latipinna (sailfin molly) is the source of this 342-nucleotide long non-coding RNA. RefSeq lists it as uncharacterized. The record is from RefSeq and is a predicted model, not a curated record. The transcript is spliced from 3 exons. NCBI's taxonomy places the organism in Eukaryota, Metazoa, Chordata, Actinopteri, Cyprinodontiformes, Poeciliidae.
UACGCAACAUCCGUCACAUUUACUUUCGUUUUGAAUUCACUUGUUCAGGUGCGGCUCCGGUCCGUUUGUUGGGUCUGAGAUUGUUGUUUAAAUUUUCUUCUUUAACUCUUCGGAUCGUUUGAACAAAAUGAUCCAUCAGAGACUCAGACCAGAACCAGAACCAGAACCCAGCUGUGUGUCCUUUAAGAGCGACUGGUCAAAGGAUGACUUCAUUAACUUUAAAUCUCCUGGAUCUCCACCUUCAUGGAGAGUGGACCAGCAGAGCUCAGAGGUUCCCAGUGGUCCGUCUGCCCAGCAGCAUCAAACACAGCUGGACUCCAUAUUUAUGGUCUGUACAUGAAC